GAUCAGAUACAGGCCAGGUAGGAGAAGCCGAUGCCUAGCCUAGGACAGGGCAGGUGGCUCAGCAAGUGUGAACACCUCUCAGUGUAAGAGCUGAGGUGAGAGAGGGGCAGAUGGGCUGUGGAGCUGGCCACACUGAAGGCAGCUGUGUGUUUUCAGGGCUCAGGACCAAAGGGAGGCUGAGCCAGGAAGGCACUCCUGGGCUUUUGGCUUGAGCAGGCUCGAAGUCAACAGAUGCAGUUGGGUCUGUGUCUAGCGAUUGGGAAGGUCCACAGCAGGACUCCAGCCCAUACCUGGGAAUCAGGACAAAGCCCAGCCUAGGGAAGAGCCCCGAGGAGCCAGGCUGGGUGUCAGGUGGGGCCCUUGUCCUGAAAGGAGAAGAGACUCCAAGGUGGAGCCCCAAGCACACCUGCCUCCGGCACAUUCACGUCUCUGGCCACUUCUCUCUUACGGCUCCCUGUGACAAUGAGAUAUGGACACCUGGGAGGCACCUGGGGCUAGUUUCUUCCUCAUACCUGCCCCGCUCAGAUGAGGCUCCUUCCAGGCUCUGCAUCUUGACUCAGUUACAACCUGAUCCUGAGCUGGGACCCGAGGAUGUCCUGCUCCUGGCUCCAAGCUCCUGGUGAGGAUGAACUUUGGUUUGACUCCACCUGCUCAAGUGCCUUCGGAAGUGUGCCCACCUUGCCAGCCUCGUCAGAAUGCAAUCUCAGGAUGACGAAAGAGUUCAGGAAAUGCCACCCCAAGUUUCGCCAUGUUGGUCAGGCUGGCCUCGAACUCCCGCCCUCAGGUGAUCCACCUGCCUCGGCCUCCUAAAGUGCUGGGAUUACAGGCAUGAGCCACUGCGCCCAACCUGAAUAAUCUAUUAGAGUCUUUAUCUCUAAGAAGGGAAAUACAUCUGAACUAAAGGAUGGAGUCUUACUCUUUCACCCAGGCUGGAGUGAAGUGGCGCGAUCUCGGCUCACUGCAACCUCCACCCCCCGGGUUCAAGCGAUUCUCCUGCCUCAGGCUCCCGAGUAGCUGGAAUUACAGGCACCCGCCACCAUGCCCAGCUAAUUUUUAUAUUUUUAGUAGAGACGGGGUUUUACCAUGUUGGCCAGGGUGGUUUUGAACUCCUGACCUCAGGUGAUCUGCCUGCCUCUGCCUCCCAAAGUGCUGGGAUUACAGGCAUGAGCCACCGCGCCCGGCCCAUAUGUAGAAUUCUUUGAGCAAACUUUUCACCUGCUAAACCUUUCCUGCUAUCGUCAUCAUCAUCAUCAUCUACCUCAGAGGGUUCCUGGGGACCUGAAACAAGGCAAGCUAUACAAACUGUUUGACACAGGCAUCACUAAAUAAUUACGGGGCAGAGUGAUGCGUGCUGGGAUAUAGAAUGGUGGGAGGUGCUGGGAGACUCACAGGAAAGAGAAAAGACUUCUGACUGGCUGGUUGGAAGAAGGAUGUGGAAGGCUUCCCAGAGGAAAUAGUGUUUUAGCUGACCUCAGAGGACAUGUGUGGAAGUUUCCCAGGUAGACAAGGGGGAUAUAGAAAGAUGAACUUGUGUGAAGACUCAGAUGUUAGAGAGCCUAAGCAUGUCGGGAACAUGGAGUGGUUUCAUGAGACUGCGUGUCUGGGUGAGGGCAAGGUGCGAGCCUGCACAGGACAUGGGGGCCGGAUGGCAAAAGUCUGGAAACGCCUUGCCUGAAGUUUUAAACUUGACCUGGCAGGUGAGGUCCUGUUAAUAUGGCAGAAUCACAAAGGGCACUUAAAAGAACAAAUUCUGUGGUCCUACCCAGCAACAUUCUAAGUCAGCAGGUCUCAGAUGGGACCCAGAAAUCUACAGUGUUUAUUUUUAUUUAUUUGGUUUUUUUUUUGGAGACAGAGUCUCACUCUUGUCACUCAGGCUGGCGUGCAGUGGCACAAUCUCGGCUCACUGAGCCUCAACUUCCCAAGGUUAAGUGAUCCUCUCACCUGAGCCUCCUGAGUAGCUGGGACCACAGGUUCGUGCCACCAUGCCAGGCUAAUUUUUUUGUAUUUUUAUUUUUUUAUUUAUUUUGAGACGGAGUCUCACUCUGUCGCCCAGGCUGGAGUGCAGUGACACGAUCUCAGCUCACUGCAACCACUGCCUCCUGGGUUCAAGCAAUUCUCCUGCCUUAGCCUCCCAAGUAGCUGGGAUUACAGGUGUGAGCUACCACGGCCAGCUAAUUUUUGUGUGUUUAGUAGAGAUGGGGUUUUGCCCCAGGCUGGUCUCGAACUCCCGGGCUCAAGCGACACUCAGGCCUCAACCUCCCAAAAUGCUGGGAUUAUAUGUGGGAGCCACCACACCUGGCCUAUGCUGUUUAUUUAUUUACUUUAUUUAUUUAUUUUAUUUAAUCUCAGCUCAUGCCUAAGGAAUCUAUAGUGUUUAAAGCUCCCCAGGGUCAGGCGUGGUGGUUCACACCUGUAAUCCCAGCACUUUGGGAGGCUGAGGCAGGCAGAUCACCUGGGAUCAGGAGUUCAAGACCAGCCUGGCUGACAUGGUGAAACCCCAUCUCUACUAAUAAUACAAAAAAAAGUUGGGCAUGGUGGCAUGCACCUGUAGUCCCAGCUACUAGGGAGGCUGAGGCACGAGAAUGGCUUGAACCUGGGAGGCGGAGGUUGCAGUGAACCAAGAUCACGCCACUGUACUCCAGCCUGGGCAACAGAGCCAGACAGAGACUCCAUCUCAAAAUAAAUAAGUAAAUAAAUAAAUAAAUAAAUAAAUAAAUAAAUAAAUAAAUGGCUCUCCAGGAAAUUUUUUUUAUUUUUUUUUGAGACGGAGUCUCGUUCUGUCACCCAGGCUGGAGUGCAGUGGCGCAAUCUCGGCUCACUGCAAGCUCCGCCUCCUGGGUCCACGCCAUUCUCCUGCCUCAGCCUCUCUGAGUAGCUGGGACUACAGGCACCCGCCACCACGCCCGGUUAAUUUUUUUUUUGUAUUUUUAGUAGAAACGGGGUUUCACUCUCCAGGAAAUUUUGAUGCCCACUGGGAUAUGGGAACUCCUGCCAUGGGGAGGAGGGCGUCUCUAAGAAGGAAUAGGCCCUAUUGAGAUGCCAGCCAUAGACCUCUAGGAGUUGACCAUCGAGUCUCAGAAGGUAAGGAGAGGGUGUAGGAGACCCCUGACUCUGACCUCCACCCUCUCAUUCCUCUCCAGGGGAGUCCCGCACUCUGAUGGCCACAUCUGGUGCCAGGUAGUUUCUCGUAAAGAUCUACACUCACAUUAGACAACCCACUAGUAGGUAUUUACCCAAGACACCUGAAAGCAUAUGUCUACCCAAAGACUCGUAAAUGAAUGCAACUCUAUAUGUAAUAGCCAAAAUUAGAAAUAAUCCAAACGUUCAUCAGCAGGUGAACGGAAAAACAAGUUGUGAUAUGUUCAUACAAUGAACUACUACUCAGCAAUAAAAAGAAAUGAGCUACAGAUACAGAUAAGGAAACUUUUGGAUGUGAUUAUGUUCAUGAUCUUGUUUGGGGCAAAGGUUUCAGGGAUGUAUACAUGUGUCAAAACAUAUCAAAUCGUAUAAUUUAAAUAUGUGCUGCUUAUUGUAUGUCAAUUAUAUCUCAAUAAAGCUAUUAUAAAAAUCUGAUGCCAGUUCUGUGCACUCACAGCCAGUGACAAUCCCAAGGCCACACUGAAUGAUUACUGUGCAUGAGGUACUGUGU
Symphalangus syndactylus (siamang) is the source of this 3649-nucleotide long non-coding RNA. RefSeq lists it as uncharacterized. Lineage: Eukaryota; Metazoa; Chordata; Mammalia; Primates; Hylobatidae. The record is from RefSeq and is a predicted model, not a curated record.